UAGCAAACAAAUGCAUUAGAAUUAGAAUCUAAAUAAAA
This 38-nucleotide transfer RNA is filed under the name Myrmarachne sp. A FSC-2006. Its description in RNAcentral is "partial tRNA-Leu". Lineage: Eukaryota; Metazoa; Arthropoda; Arachnida; Araneae; Salticidae. The record is from RNAcentral. RNAcentral also lists the same sequence under 1 other name.